GAUGAAGAACGCAGCGAAAUGCGAUAAGUAGUGUGAAUUGCAGAAUUCAGUGAAUCAUCGAAUCUUUGAACGCACAUUGCGCCCUUUGGUAUUCCUUAGGGCAUGCCUGUUCGAGCGUCAUUUAAACCUUCAAGCUAAGCUUGGUGUUGGGUGACUGUCCGCUUCACUGCGGACUCGCCUCAAAAUUAUUGGCGGCCGGUACAUUGGCUUCGAGCGCAGCAGAAACGCGAACUCGGGCCCGUCGUAUUGGCUCCCAGAAGCUAUCUUCACAAUUUUGACCUCGGAUCAGGUAGGGAUACCCGCUGAACUUAAGCAUAUCAAUAAGCGGAGGGA
RNAcentral lists this unclassified non-coding RNA (333 nucleotides) under soil metagenome. Its description in RNAcentral is "partial contains 5.8S ribosomal RNA, internal transcribed spacer 2, and large subunit ribosomal RNA". The stretch from base 1 to 120 matches the Rfam family "5.8S ribosomal RNA", at positions 35 to 154 of the family's 154-position model. The record is from RNAcentral.